GGCCCAUUGGUCAAGAGGUCAAGACGUCACCCUCUCACGGUGAAAUCAUGGGUUCGAUUCCCGUAUGGGUCACCA
Molecule: transfer RNA, 75 nt
Filed under: Clostridium butyricum
Lineage: Bacteria; Bacillati; Bacillota; Clostridia; Eubacteriales; Clostridiaceae
Also listed under: 11 other names
Description: tRNA-Glu
Rfam family: tRNA
About the family: Transfer RNA (tRNA) molecules are approximately 80 nucleotides in length.
Source: RNAcentral